Molecule: unclassified non-coding RNA, 498 nt
Filed under: uncultured Archaeospora
Lineage: Eukaryota; Fungi; Glomeromycota; Glomeromycetes; Archaeosporales; Archaeosporaceae
Description: SSU rRNA
Rfam family: Eukaryotic small subunit ribosomal RNA
Source: RNAcentral
CCAAUAGCGUAUAUUAAAGUUGUUGCAGUUAAAAAGCUCGUAGUUGAAUUUUGGAUUCUACCAGUCGGUCCAUCUUUUGAUGAGUACUGGUUGUGUGGGGUCUAUCCGCCUGGUAAUACGUAAUGUCCUUUAUUGGAUGUUGCGGGUAGUCAGGACCUUUACCUUGAAAAAAUUAGAGUGUUUAAAGCAGGCUUAUGCCGGAAUCCAUUAGCAUGGAAUAAUAGAAUAGGACGAAGUUGUUUUAUUUUGUUGGUUUCUAGGACAACCGUAAUGAUUAAUAGGGAUAGUUGGGGGCAUUAGUAUUCAAUUGUCAGAGGUGAAAUUCUUGGAUUUAUUGAAGACUAACUAUUGCGAAAGCAUUUGCCAAGGAUGUUUUCAUUAAUCAAGAACGAAAGUUAGGGGAUCGAAGACGAUCAGAUACCGUCGUAGUCUUAACCAUAAACUAUGCCGACUAGGGAUCGGGCGAUGUUGUUUCAAUGACUCGCUCGGCACCUUAUG